Molecule: small nucleolar RNA, 92 nt
Filed under: Catenaria anguillulae PL171
Lineage: Eukaryota; Fungi; Blastocladiomycota; Blastocladiomycetes; Blastocladiales; Catenariaceae
Description: Small nucleolar RNA snR60/Z15/Z230/Z193/J17
Rfam family: Small nucleolar RNA snR60/Z15/Z230/Z193/J17
About the family: The members of this family belong to the C/D class of snoRNAs which contain the C (UGAUGA) and D (CUGA) box motifs. Most of the members of the box C/D family function in directing site-specific 2'-O-methylation of substrate RNAs.
Source: Rfam by way of RNAcentral
CAGCAUGAUGUGAUGAUUGCAUAGUUCAUCUGAAUCGGCAAUGUCGAUUAAAUCGCAAAUUAAAGUCUUUCGCUCCUAUCUGACUCAUGCUU